Molecule: ribosomal RNA, 307 nt
Filed under: Staphylococcus epidermidis
Lineage: Bacteria; Bacillati; Bacillota; Bacilli; Caryophanales; Staphylococcaceae
Description: partial 23S ribosomal RNA
Rfam family: Bacterial large subunit ribosomal RNA
Source: RNAcentral
UCAGAGGCGAUGAAGGACGUGCUAAUCUGCGAAAAGCGUCGGUAAGGUGAUAUGAACCCUUGACCCGUCGAUGUCCGAAUGGGGAAACCCAGUGCAAUUCGUUGCACUAUCGUUAACUGAAUACAUAGGUUAACGAGGCGAACCGGGGGAACUGAAACAUCUAAGUACCCCGAGGAAAAGAAAUCAACCGAGAUUCCCCCAGUAGCGGCGAGCGAACGGGGAGCAGCCCAGAGUCUGAAUCAGCUUGUGUGUUAGUGGAACGGUCUGGAAAGUCCGACGGUACAGGGUGAUAGUCCCGUACACCAAA